GAGAUGUAGAAGACAGAAAGAGGUAAACCAGAGGAAGAAAGAGGAGGUGGGGAGAGAGAUGUAGAAGACAGAAAGAGGUAAAACAGAGGAAGAAAGAGGAGGUGGGGAGAGAGGUGUAGAAGACAGAAAGAGGUAAAAUAGAGGAAUAAGAGGAGGUGGGGAGAGAGAUGUAGAAGACAGAAAGGGAAAGAGGUGGGGAGAGAGAUGUAGAAGACAGAAAGAGGUAAAACAGAGGAAUAAAGAGGAGGUGGGGAGAGAGAUGUAGAAGACAGAAAGAGGUAAAACAGAGGAAGAAAGAGGAGGUGAGGAGAGAGGUCUAGAAGACAGAAAGAGGUCAAACAGAGGAAGAAAGAGGAGGUGGGGAGAGAGGUGUAGAAGACAGUAAGAUGUAAAACAGAGGAAUAAAGA
This is a long non-coding RNA of Oncorhynchus tshawytscha (Chinook salmon), 408 nucleotides long. The record is from Ensembl. NCBI's taxonomy places the organism in Eukaryota, Metazoa, Chordata, Actinopteri, Salmoniformes, Salmonidae.